Molecule: long non-coding RNA, 582 nt
Organism: Oncorhynchus masou masou (cherry salmon)
Lineage: Eukaryota; Metazoa; Chordata; Actinopteri; Salmoniformes; Salmonidae
Exons: 2
Source: RefSeq, a predicted model, not a curated record
CGGAGGGAGAGGUUCAUGUCCAACCUGAAAAAGGAGUACAUGUGCAAUUGCCAUUUAUUAGGCUCUGGGACCUGAGCCCUAGGACCAUGCCCCAGGACUACCUGGUCUGAUGACCCCUUGCUGUCCCAGUCCACCUGGUCGUGCUGCUGCUCCAGUUUCAACUGUUCUGCCUGCAGCGAUGGAACCCCGACCUGUUCACCGGAUGUGCUACCUUGACCCAGACCUGCUUUUUAAAACUCUCUCUACCGUACCUGCUGAUUUGACCUCUGAAUUCCCGGAUAUGAAAAGCCAAGUGACAUUUACUCCUGAUGUACUGACCUUUUGCACCCUCUACAACCACUGUGAUUAUUAUUUGACCCUGCUGGUCAUCUAUGAACGUUUGAACAUCUUGGAGAACAAUCUGGCCUUAAUGGCCAUGUACUGUUAUAAUCUGCACCUGGUAGAGCCAGAAGAGGACUGGCCACCCCUCAGAUCCACCGUGCUUCUACAUCUGCAUUGCUCGCUGUUUGAGGUUUAGCUCUUUUUGACAUCUGCUAAUGUAAAAAGGGCUUUACAAAUAAAAAAAGUGUUCUUAUUCCUUUA